GCUGCCAAGGGAACCCAGCAAAGAGCUCUUUGAGAGGUAACUAGCACUCUUGCCUUUUUACAUGAGGUCCUAAGUCACUAUGGCAGAUGUAUCCCAAUUUUUGUUUUUCUAUACUUCUCUAGUAUAAAUUUUAGCUGGUAACAUGGCUGCCUGGCCAAAAACUACAUUUCCCAGCCUCCCUUGCAGUAGCUAUGGUCAUGUGACUGGGUAAAGGCAGCAGAAGUGAUGCGGGUCACAUCUUGAUCUUGCCCUCAAAAAAUUGAUAGUAUCAUCAACCCUCACACCCAGUCCCUUUCCCCCUUUCCACUGCUGAAGAAGAGAACAAGAACCGAAGCAUCUCCUUAGACACAGAGAUGGAAAGCAUGUAUUAAGGAUGCUGAGCUGCCCCAGGUCAGGACCUGCUGACCUCCAGACUGUGACAUGGGAACAUCAACUUCUCUCUUGGGUCUCAGGCUGGAGUUCAGUGGCACAAUCUUGGCUCAUUGCAACCUCUGCUUCCCAGGUUCAAGUGAUCCUCCCACCUCCGCUUCCUGAGUAGCUGAGACUACAUGCAAAUGCCAACCAUGCCCAGGCAUUAAGUUUGACACUGGGGACAUAAAAAUGGGUAACACACGGCCCUGGAUCUCAAGGAACCAGCCUCCUGAUGGAAAAUAAAAGAGAGAGAGACUUAAAUGGAUGAUUUCAGCAUAAUGAAUGUGACGGGUGAUAAGAUAAGGCAAUGCAUCUGGUAUCACUGCUUUUCCAAGGCUUCUAAAGGGGUAAAAAAUUACCCAGUGGGUAUUUGAAGGAGAAAGUAAAUAAAAGAAAAUCUACCAAGA
This is a long non-coding RNA of Callithrix jacchus (white-tufted-ear marmoset), 818 nucleotides long. RefSeq lists it as uncharacterized. NCBI's taxonomy places the organism in Eukaryota, Metazoa, Chordata, Mammalia, Primates, Cebidae. The record is from RefSeq and is a predicted model, not a curated record.